UAGGGAAUCUCCCACAAUGGACGCAAGUCUGAUGGAGCAACGCCGCGUGAGUGAAGAAGGCUUUCGGGUCGUAAAACUCUGUUAUUGAAGAAGAACGUGUGUGACAGUAACUGGUCAUGCAGUGACGGUAUUCAAUCAGAAAGUCACGGCUAACUACGUGCCAGCAGCCGCGGUAAUACGUAGGUGGCAAGCGUUGUCCGGAUUUAUUGGGCGUAAAGCGAGUGCAGGCGGUCUUUUAAGUCUGAUGUGAAAGCCUUCGGCUUAACCGAAGAAGGGCAUCGGAAACUGGGAGACUUGAGUGCAGAAGAGGAGAGUGGAACUCCAUGUGUAGCGGUGAAAUGCGUAGAUAUAUGGAAGAACACCAGUGGCGAAGGCGGCUCUCUGGUCUGUAACUGACGCUGAGGCUCGAAAGCGUGGGUAGCAAACAGGAUUAGAUACCCUG
This 442-nucleotide ribosomal RNA is filed under the name uncultured bacterium. RNAcentral describes it as "partial 16S ribosomal RNA". It matches the Rfam family "Bacterial small subunit ribosomal RNA", at positions 355 to 789 of the family's 1533-position model. The record is from RNAcentral.